This 435-nucleotide ribosomal RNA is filed under the name uncultured bacterium. Its description in RNAcentral is "bacterial SSU rRNA". It matches the Rfam family "Bacterial small subunit ribosomal RNA", at positions 958 to 1398 of the family's 1533-position model. The record is from RNAcentral.
AACGCGAAGAACCUUACCAGGGUUUGACAUGCAUUUGCACCUCUUGGAGACAAGAGUCCCUUCGGGGCGGAUGCACAGGUGCUGCAUGGCUGUCGUCAGCUCGUGUCGUGAGAUGUUGGGUUAAGUCCCGCAACGAGCGCAACCCUCGCCUUUAGUUGCCAUCAUUUGGUUGGGCACUCUAAAGGGACCGCCGGCGACAAGCCGGAGGAAGGUGGGGAUGACGUCAAGUCCUCAUGGCCCUUACGGCCUGGGCUACACACGUGCUACAAUGGCGGUGACAGUGGGCAGCGACCACGCGAGUGGAUGCGAAUCCCAAAAAACCGUCCCAGUUCAGAUUGCACUCUGCAACUCGGGUGCAUGAAGGUGGAAUCGCUAGUAAUCGCAGAACAGCAGGCUGCGGUGAAUACGUUCCCGGGCCUUGUACACACCGGAGUA